GGCUUUGGGACCUGAAUUGAGCCAUGCUUCUGGCUUCUUGGGUUCCCCAACUUGCAGACAGCCUAUUGUGGGACUUCUCAGACUCCAUAUUAUAUAAGAAUUGUUCACAAUCUCAGAUGAGAAAGCUCUCAAAGAGCAAACACAGGAUUAGAAGUUUUCUCAUUUGGCUUUUGGCCUCUACUCUGAAAGGUAACGGGAAGAACUAACGACUGCCAGAAUUGACACAUUGGGGAACCCUCCAGAAACCAACAUCGUUGGCCAAAGGAAGAAAAAAAAAUUAAUGCAAUUGGAACACAGCAGAACUACGGUUCCCAAGCUCCCUUGCAGUUGGAUGGGGCCAUGAGAUCUGACCAAUGAAAUGAGUCUAAAGUGUGAUGUGCUUUAUCCAUUGUUUGGUCCCUGAAAAUAUCUCCCACACAAACUGGAUUCUCCACUCUUUCUUUUUCUUUUCUUCUGACCAUAGGCAGCAGAGAGAUCCAAGGUCCUAGUACAGAAAUCUAUAUAUGACAUCCUGUCUGGUGGGCUGAUGUUUUUUAUAAAUAAAGUUUUACUUC
Long non-coding RNA from Carlito syrichta (Philippine tarsier), 554 nucleotides. RefSeq lists it as uncharacterized. Lineage: Eukaryota; Metazoa; Chordata; Mammalia; Primates; Tarsiidae. The record is from RefSeq and is a predicted model, not a curated record. The transcript has 4 exons.